Molecule: ribosomal RNA, 509 nt
Filed under: uncultured bacterium
Lineage: Bacteria
Description: bacterial SSU rRNA
Rfam family: Bacterial small subunit ribosomal RNA
Source: RNAcentral
UGAGUAACACGUGGGUAACCUGCCCAUAAGACUGGGAUAACUCCGGGAAACCGGGGCUAAUACCGGAUAACAUUUUGAACUGCAUGGUUCGAAAUUGAAAGGCGGCUUCGGCUGUCACUUAUGGAUGGACCCGCGUCGCAUUAGCUAGUUGGUGAGGUAACGGCUCACCAAGGCAACGAUGCGUAGCCGACCUGAGAGGGUGAUCGGCCACACUGGGACUGAGACACGGCCCAGACUCCUACGGGAGGCAGCAGUAGGGAAUCUUCCGCAAUGGACGAAAGUCUGACGGAGCAACGCCGCGUGAGUGAUGAAGGCUUUCGGGUCGUAAAACUCUGUUGUUAGGGAAGAACAAGUGCUAGUUGAAUAAGCUGGCACCUUGACGGUACCUAACCAGAAAGCCACGGCUAACUACGUGCCAGCAGCCGCGGUAAUACGUAGGUGGCAAGCGUUAUCCGGAAUUAUUGGGCGUAAAGCGCGCGCAGGUGGUUUCUUAAGUCUGAUGUGAAAGC